UUCUGACCGUAAACGAUGCCAACUAGCGAUCCGCCGGUGGAUUUUUAGCCCUGGUGGGUAGCUUCCCGGAAACGAAAGUCUUCCGGUUCCGGGGGAAGUAUGGUUGCAAAGCUGAAACUUAAAGGAAUUGACGGAAGGGCACCACCAGGAGUGGAGCCUGCGGCUUAAUUUGACUCAACACGGGGAAACUCACCCGGCCCGGACACCGUAAGGAUUGACAGAUUGAUAGCUCUUUCAUGAUUCGGUGGUUGGUGGUGCAUGGCCGUUCUUAGUUCGUGGAUCGAUUUGUCUGGUUUAUUCCGAUAACGAGCGAGACUCUAGCCUACUAAAUAGUAACGAGAUUAUCAAUGUCUCAGUUGCUUCUUAGAGGGAUUUUCGGUGUUUAGCCGCACGAGAUUGAGCAAUAACAGGUCUGUGAUGCCCUUAGAUGUCCGGGGCUGCACGCGCGCUACACUGGCGAAAUCAGCGUGCUGUAUCCAUUCUCGAAAGGGAUUGGUAAACCCAUGAAAAUUUGCCGUGCUUGGGAUCGGAAAUUGCAAUUAUUUUCCGUGAAC
This 554-nucleotide ribosomal RNA is filed under the name Cephalobidae environmental sample. Its description in RNAcentral is "SSU rRNA". It matches the Rfam family "Eukaryotic small subunit ribosomal RNA", at positions 1024 to 1604 of the family's 1831-position model. Lineage: Eukaryota; Metazoa; Nematoda; Chromadorea; Rhabditida; Cephalobidae. The record is from RNAcentral.